GCGUAACGCGUGGGAAUCUGCCCUUGGGUUCGGAAUAACAGUUGGAAACGACUGCUAAUACCGGAUGAUGUCUUCGGACCAAAGAUUUAUCGCCCAGGGAUGAGCCCGCGUAAGAUUAGCUAGUUGGUGGGGUAAAGGCCUACCAAGGCGACGAUCUUUAGCUGGUCUGAGAGGAUGAUCAGCCACACUGGGACUGAGACACGGCCCAGACUCCUACGGGAGGCAGCAGUGGGGAAUAUUGGACAAUGGGCGAAAGCCUGAUCCAGCAAUGCCGCGUGAGUGAUGAAGGCCUAGGGUUGUAA
Molecule: ribosomal RNA, 302 nt
Filed under: uncultured Sphingomonas sp.
Lineage: Bacteria; Pseudomonadati; Pseudomonadota; Alphaproteobacteria; Sphingomonadales; Sphingomonadaceae
Description: bacterial SSU rRNA
Rfam family: Bacterial small subunit ribosomal RNA
Source: RNAcentral